Molecule: ribosomal RNA, 733 nt
Filed under: uncultured bacterium
Lineage: Bacteria
Description: bacterial SSU rRNA
Rfam family: Bacterial small subunit ribosomal RNA
Source: RNAcentral
CGCUGGCGGCAGGCCUAACACAUGCAAGUCGAGCGGAUGAAGGGAGCUUGCUCCCUGAUUUAGCGGCGGACGGGUGAGUAAUGCCUAGGAAUCUGCCUGGUAGUGGGGGAUAACGUUCCGAAAGGAACGCUAAUACCGCAUACGUCCUACGGGAGAAAGCAGGGGACCUUCGGGCCUUGCGCUAUCAGAUGAGCCUAGGUCGGAUUAGCUAGUUGGUGAGGUAAUGGCUCACCAAGGCGACGAUCCGUAACUGGUCUGAGAGGAUGAUCAGUCACACUGGAACUGAGACACGGUCCAGACUCCUACGGGAGGCAGCAGUGGGGAAUAUUGGACAAUGGGCGAAAGCCUGAUCCAGCCAUGCCGCGUGUGUGAAGAAGGUCUUCGGAUUGUAAAGCACUUUAAGUUGGGAGGAAGGGCAUUAACCUAAUACGUUAGUGUUUUGACGUUACCGACAGAAUAAGCACCGGCUAACUUCGUGCCAGCAGCCGCGGUAAUACGAAGGGUGCAAGCGUUAAUCGGAAUUACUGGGCGUAAAGCGCGCGUAGGUGGUUCGUUAAGUUGGAUGUGAAAGCCCCGGGCUCAACCUGGGAACUGCAUCCAAAACUGGCGAGCUAGAGUACGGUAGAGGGUGGUGGAAUUUCCUGUGUAGCGGUGAAAUGCGUAGAUAUAGGAAGGAACACCAGUGGCGAAGGCGACCACCUGGACUGAUACUGACACUGAGGUGCGAAAGCGU